AUAAACUAAUGAUAUUUAAUGCUGAGAGGGCGAGCGGAUACAUUCUUACUUCUCGGUGACUCCCGGCAGGAUGAAGAACAUCCAGAAGUGGAUGCCGAAGACUAGGAAGACCUGGAAGAUGACCUUGCCCAUGACAGACUUGCGCAAGUAGAGGGCCCGGUCCACUACCAUAGUCCCGAACUGGAUGAGGACCAUCACCAAAAAAGGUCCGGGGACCUGAUCCUCUGAAAGGGACGAAGUGAUGUCUGCCGCCGAGUGUUUCUACAAGACAACAGAUCAGGAUGGAAAUUUGUGCUUUCCAGCAGCUUCCUCCUACAACCCCCGGAAGUGUCCCAGUCAAGAAUCUGUCCAUUUCGACUGUCCAUGGAUCAUUACGAUCGGAAAUAACUUUUGAACGGCAAGUCAUACCUGGAUAACAUUGACUUUAACCCUGACAUUCUUAUGGGUAAGCUGUCAGAGCCAGGAAUCAAGCUGAUUUGACAUUCCAUGAGUUGCUACAGUUGGAACUACCUGUAAUUCUUGAAUGGAAGGUCAUACACGUAAAUUUGACUUCUACCCCCUAAUUCAUAGAGUUACCUUUCCAACUGUACCAUCUAUAUCAUUUUAUGUUGUUUGGAAGUGUCCAUGCUGGGAUUUGGGUUGUUUCGACUGUACACUGGUCUUUUGGAAAUACAUUUUGAACUAAGAGUCUUACAGAGAUGAAUUUCAACCACUACAUUUGUAAUCAGACUGUUUUGACUGUCCUUCAUUAUAGUUGGAAAUAACUUUUAAAAAUAUAACCACAUUGGGAUCAAUUUUACUUCUACCCCAACAUUCUUAGGUUACCUUUCCAAAGGUACUACACGUAUCCUUCUACGUUGUCGAGUUGUUGUUGUUGUGUCUGAGCUGGGAAUCCUGCUGUUUUGGUGGUCCCCGGAUCAUUAUUGUUAGAAAUAACUUUUAAACAGAAAAUCUGAUCUGGCUAAAUUCAACUUUGACUCCCACAUUUAUAGGGGUGAGCUUUCCAACCAUACCACUCGCCCUUCAAUGUUGUGGGGAGGAGCCCGAGCCAGGAAUUGGGCUGCUUUGACAGUCCUUGGAUCAUUAAAGUUGGAUAUAACUUUUGAACUGAAAGCCAACAAUUGAACUUGACCCCCACAUUUCUAGGGGUGAGCUUUUAAGCAGAACCUACAUCUCUUUAUGCUGUCUGGAAGUGUCAAAGUCAGGAAUAAGACUCUAUUGGUGGUCCACGACUCACUACAGUUGAAAAUAAUUCCUUAAGAGAAACUCACACCCAGUGUACAGGUGACACCUACACCAAAAGCCCAGAAGCCAAAGACGAUGAUAAUGAAGUCAACAGUGUCGGCGAGGAACAUGAGCACAUAGACGUCGGUCACAGCGCUGUACUCGGGAUGGAUGAGGUCGUAAAAGAACUGACGCAUGGGCUCUGGCCUUGAAGAGCUGCUCCUUCAGCUUCUCCAGG
Molecule: long non-coding RNA, 1462 nt
Organism: Phycodurus eques (leafy seadragon)
Lineage: Eukaryota; Metazoa; Chordata; Actinopteri; Syngnathiformes; Syngnathidae
Exons: 3
Source: RefSeq, a predicted model, not a curated record